UGUAAAUCGAAUCGCUGAAGCUGC
This 24-nucleotide non-coding RNA is filed under the name Arabidopsis thaliana (thale cress). The record is from RNAcentral. Lineage: Eukaryota; Viridiplantae; Streptophyta; Magnoliopsida; Brassicales; Brassicaceae.